UACAGAGGGGGCAAGCGUUAUUCGGAAUUAUUGGGCGUAAAGGGCGCGUAGGCGGCUUGGCAAGUGGAUGGUGAAAUCCCUCGGCUUAACCGAGGAACUGCCGUCCAAACUGCUUUGCUUGAGACCGGGAGAGGUGAGUGGAAUUCCCAGUGUAGCGGUGAAAUGCGUAGAUAUUGGGAGGAACACCAGUGGCGAAGGCGGCUCACUGGACCGGUACUGACGCUGAGGCGCGAAAGCGUGGGUAGCAAACAGG
RNAcentral lists this ribosomal RNA (253 nucleotides) under uncultured bacterium. RNAcentral's name for it is "partial 16S ribosomal RNA". It matches the Rfam family "Bacterial small subunit ribosomal RNA", at positions 524 to 776 of the family's 1533-position model. The record is from RNAcentral.